CUAUUCCCCUCACGGAGCGACCAUUCCCAGAAUUCCCUGGGAAACUCAGAGUGGUUUUAACAGUCAGCCCCUCUUCCCAGGGAAUUCUGGGAACGGUCUUCUGUGUAAGGGGGAAU
Molecule: non-coding RNA, 116 nt
Organism: Podarcis lilfordi (Lilford's wall lizard)
Lineage: Eukaryota; Metazoa; Chordata; Lepidosauria; Squamata; Lacertidae
Source: the annotation of a GenBank genome assembly